CUCUCUCUCUCUCUCUCUCAAAAUAAAUAAAUAAGUCAAUUUUUUCCAGUUUAAAAAAAUAACAAAAUACAACCAUUGUAACAAUAUAAUGAAAGUUACGUGAACGUGGUCUGUCUGUCUCUCAAAAUGUCUCGUGCUGCACUCACCCUUCUUCUUCCUCCUGUGAUGCUGUGAGCUGACAAAAUGCCUGUGUCAAUGAUGAGAUAAAGUGAGGCGGGAGACGCAGGCCUUGUGACUUGGCGUCAGGCUGCUGUUGACCUGAUGGUGCUCCCGGAGGAUCAUCUGCUUCCGGACCCUGGUUGACCUCGGGUAACCGAAGUCCGUGGGUAAGGGGAGACGACGGUAUAGGCCUGGCACUCAAGGAGAACGUUCGGGAAAGAAGCUGUAGCUAGAAAGGGAUCAGGAUCGUCACCGCGGCCCACUUUUUGUUUAUUUGCGGAUCACCGCCUGCCCAGCCCUUUAUUUGUAAUGUUUAAAGCAAAUGACAAGUUUUCUUUCAGGAUUUAAUGUAUGACGAAGGUGAGGUUUUGCAACUAGUCGGGAAAGGAUGGAUUGUUCAGCAAAUGAUGUGGGCACCGCUGUUUUCCCAUGAGGAAAAAAGGUAAAGGCUUUUUGAUAAGAUGCUCACCGGAUGUAUUUAUGAUGUCUUCAGAAGAACCACAGGGGCGCCUGGGUGGCUCAGUCGGUUAAGCGCCCAACUCUCAGUUUCGGCUCGGGUCGUGAUCUCAUGCCUCGUGGGUUCGAGCCCCUCGUCGGCUGUGCACUUGACGAUGCUUCAGAUCAGAUCCUCUGUCUCCCUUUCCUUCUGCCCCUCCCCAGCUCAUGCUCCCUCUCUCUCUGUCUCUGUCUCUCUCUGUCUCUGUCUCUGUCUCUCUCUCAGAUGAUUAAACGUUAAAAAACAAGAAAGAACCGCAAAUCUACUGGAAGAGACAUGGGCGUGUUUAUAGCAGCUCACCCCUGCUCAGUGGCCCUGGCCUUGAAAGCACACGUCCCUCCGCCCCCCGCUCGUCGUCCUUCCGGUCUGGGCUCAAGCGACACUUCCUCGGGCGGGUGGCUCAUCCUCCACCCGCAACCGGGCAAAGGUCACCUGGCGUAUCUCAUGCCUACCUCGCCUUUGCCACAUUUUGGACAUUUGUAAGUUACCCAAGUAUUUGGAGGGUUUUUGUUUCUUUUGAGAGACAGAGAGUGCACGUG
Long non-coding RNA from Herpailurus yagouaroundi (jaguarundi), 1194 nucleotides. RefSeq lists it as uncharacterized. The transcript has 3 exons. NCBI's taxonomy places the organism in Eukaryota, Metazoa, Chordata, Mammalia, Carnivora, Felidae. The record is from RefSeq and is a predicted model, not a curated record.